Molecule: ribosomal RNA, 354 nt
Filed under: Triticum aestivum (bread wheat)
Lineage: Eukaryota; Viridiplantae; Streptophyta; Magnoliopsida; Poales; Poaceae
Description: partial small subunit ribosomal RNA
Source: RNAcentral
AUGUUCGUGUGGGUGCUGGGCAGCGGCGGGUGCGCGGCCGGGUCGGUGCGCGUGCCGCUCGACGGCGGCGGGGACGAUACGAAUCUACUCCGCCUCCAGACAUCACUCCCUCCGCUCCUGCGGUUCGUGCCUCUUCCUCUAGCAAGAUCGGCGGUGGCUACACCUCCUGAGGAUGUCCUUGCGCUCUUCCUGUCCCAUAUAGGAAGAGGCGACCAGUUUCUUCAAUGUAUUGUAGACCCGUUAUUGAUAGGAAAUAAUAACAAAAGGGAAGUAUAUGUCGCUAGGCUUACUAAUCAUUUGCCACUCUUUUCUUCCGCUUUCCAAAUUCUUUUCCCUAGGAACGAGAUGUUAUGA